AGACCGCAAGUUUGCUGACAUCGGAAAUAAAGUAACCAUGGAAUAUGAAUGGUAAGAAAACAAGAUUAGUUUUUAUAUCAAUGUUAACUUAUUUCUUUAUAUCCUUUAUUAUAAUUUUUACCCCCCUUUUUUUACUUUGGUUGAGAGGAAUAUUUCGUAUAUUGGACUGGGCUGAUAUUGUUAAUGCGCAUUUGUACCUGGACCUGGGAUUGUAGAUGGCUUGAAGCUGAAGGGUUUGCCUAAAGGAAGAGGGCUACUUCUGCUUACUGAAAUGAGCUCUGCUGGCAACCUUGCUCAGGGAGAUUACACUGCUGCAACUGUAAAGAUUGCUGAGCAACAUCCUGACUUUGUGAUCGGGUUCAUAUCAGUAAAUCCUGCAUCUUGGUCGGUAGCACCAUCAAACCCAGCACCUAUCCAUGCGACCCCUGGAGUUUAGCUGGUCGCUGGAGGAGAUGCUCUUGGGCAACAAUACUGCUACACUCCUCAAGCUGUUUCAAGAAGUUUUUCAGAGUUACAAUCUUUAAAGCACCAUAUCUGUUGGCGGCUGUUGAUCACAAUGUUUCAAUCUUUAAAACAUACCGUUAUAGAAGACCAUUGGAGUAAUAUGUUCUAUUUGUGCAACACCGCGUAGCUUGAAAUACGCUAUAGUCUUGAUAAUGACGUUGAAUGGACUUAGCUAUAUAAACAAUAGUUUUGCUUUCCUUCAGUGGUUUAUGAAAAAUUGAUAGAUCCAAAAAAUUUACCCUAAAACCCAUCACAUUUAAUGUUUGGACACAUGCAUAAAGUAUUAAAUAAAAUUUGUUUACAAAACUUUUUA
Panicum virgatum (switchgrass) is the source of this 817-nucleotide long non-coding RNA. RefSeq lists it as uncharacterized. The record is from RefSeq and is a predicted model, not a curated record. NCBI's taxonomy places the organism in Eukaryota, Viridiplantae, Streptophyta, Magnoliopsida, Poales, Poaceae. The transcript has 3 exons.